This 496-nucleotide ribosomal RNA is filed under the name uncultured bacterium. Its description in RNAcentral is "partial 16S ribosomal RNA". It matches the Rfam family "Bacterial small subunit ribosomal RNA", at positions 28 to 506 of the family's 1533-position model. The record is from RNAcentral.
GAUGAACGCUGGCGGCGUGCCUAAUACAUGCAAGUCGAGCGAACAGACGAGGAGCUUGCUCCUCUGACGUUAGCGGCGGACGGGUGAGUAACACGUGGAUAACCUACCUAUAAGACUGGGAUAACUUCGGGAAACCGGAGCUAAUACCGGAUAAUAUAUUGAACCGCAUGGUUCAAUAGUGAAAGACGGUUUUGCUGUCACUUAUAGAUGGAUCCGCGCCGCAUUAGCUAGUUGGUAAGGUAACGGCUUACCAAGGCAACGAUGCGUAGCCGACCUGAGAGGGUGAUCGGCCACACUGGAGCUGAGACACGGUCCAGACUCCUACGGGAGGCAGCAGUAGGGAAUCUUCCGCAAUGGGCGAAAGCUUGACGGAGCAACGCCGCGUGAGUGAUGAAGGUCUUCGGAUCGUAAAACUCUGUUAUUAGGGAAGAACAAAUGUGUAAGUAACUAUGCACGUCUUGACGGUACCUAAUCAGAAAGCCACGGCUAACUACGU